ACAAAUCCAAUAAUUGCGGAGAACGCUUGUUCUUUUGCAAAUAUUAAUCCGCUGGCCGCUCUUAGUAGCAGCUGGCUGUGAUAUAAAUGCGUGUUAUGUUGACAGUGUGUGUAUAAAUUAAUAUUGA
This 127-nucleotide unclassified non-coding RNA is filed under the name uncultured fungus. RNAcentral describes it as "sequence contains ITS1". The record is from RNAcentral. Lineage: Eukaryota; Fungi.